This 212-nucleotide unclassified non-coding RNA is filed under the name Hevea brasiliensis (rubber tree). Lineage: Eukaryota; Viridiplantae; Streptophyta; Magnoliopsida; Malpighiales; Euphorbiaceae. The record is from RNAcentral.
AAUCAUUGUGCUCUCAAAAACCUAAGCACUGUUACUCAUUUUCAGUACAAAUUUUGUUUUUAGGUUGGAAUGUUGACGUGAAUAUCUGUAUGAUUCAUAUGACUUCUCAAAAGUACCCCUUCUUGAUCAUUAUUAUCAUUGCAUAGCUGUUUGCAUUGAAUCAUCUUAAUAAGUGAUCAUGAGUAUGCAGCUGUUAUCCAGUGUAUAUUCUG